RNAcentral lists this ribosomal RNA (253 nucleotides) under uncultured bacterium. Its description in RNAcentral is "partial 16S ribosomal RNA". It matches the Rfam family "Bacterial small subunit ribosomal RNA", at positions 524 to 776 of the family's 1533-position model. The record is from RNAcentral.
UACGGGGGGGGCAAGCGUUGUUCGGAAUUACUGGGCGUAAAGGGCUUGUAGGUGGCCAACUAAGUCAGACGUGAAAUCCCUCGGCUUAACCGGGGAACUGCGUCUGAUACUGGAUGGCUUGAGUUUGGGAGAGGGAUGCGGAAUUCCAGGUGUAGCGGUGAAAUGCGUAGAUAUCUGGAGGAACACCGGUGGCGAAGGCGGCAUCCUGGACCAACACUGACGCUGAGGAGCGAAAGCCAGGGGAGCAAACGGG